This 114-nucleotide ribosomal RNA is filed under the name Triticum aestivum (bread wheat). RNAcentral describes it as "partial small subunit ribosomal RNA". The record is from RNAcentral. Lineage: Eukaryota; Viridiplantae; Streptophyta; Magnoliopsida; Poales; Poaceae.
AUGUCUCACGUUCGAUCCAUCACCACACUUGAGAGCUUCAAAGAACUGCAUUCUUGUUUGCUGAAGUUUCAGAUAUUACAAGUUCUGGAUCUUGAAAGUUGCAGGGACUUGUAA